RNAcentral lists this ribosomal RNA (505 nucleotides) under uncultured bacterium. RNAcentral's name for it is "partial 16S ribosomal RNA". It matches the Rfam family "Bacterial small subunit ribosomal RNA", at positions 28 to 507 of the family's 1533-position model. The record is from RNAcentral.
GACGAACGCUGGCGGCGUGCCUAAUACAUGCAAGUAGAACGCACAGUUUAUACCGUAGCUUGCUACACCGUAGACUGUGAGUUGCGAACGGGUGAGUAACGCGUAGGUAACCUGCCUGGUAGCGGGGGAUAACUAUUGGAAACGAUAGCUAAUACCGCAUAAUAUUGAUUAUUGCAUGAUAAUUGAUUGAAAGAUGCUAUUGCAUCACUACCAGAUGGACCUGCGUUGUAUUAGCUAGUAGGUGAGGUAACGGCUCACCUAGGCGACGAUACAUAGCCGACCUGAGAGGGUGAUCGGCCACACUGGGACUGAGACACGGCCCAGACUCCUACGGGAGGCAGCAGUAGGGAAUCUUCGGCAAUGGACGAAAGUCUGACCGAGCAACGCCGCGUGAGUGAAGAAGGUUUUCGGAUCGUAAAGCUCUGUUGUAAGAGAAGAACGGGUGUGAGAGUGGAAAGUUCACACUGUGACGGUAGCUUACCAGAAAGGGACGGCUAACUACGUG